Molecule: long non-coding RNA, 399 nt
Filed under: Gossypium raimondii (Peruvian cotton)
Lineage: Eukaryota; Viridiplantae; Streptophyta; Magnoliopsida; Malvales; Malvaceae
Description: long non-coding RNA (GRAI_LNC003177)
Source: RNAcentral
UCGAAUUUUUUUUUCGAAUUUUGAGUUCGAAUCUUAUUGAGUUUUCGAAUUCGAAUAACUCGAAUAAUUCGAAUAAUUCGAAUAUCAAACUAUAAUAUUUUACAUUUUUACCCCAAACUCCCAAACCUUUUUACUUUUCCCUCAAAACUUUUAUUCCUUCCCACUUUCCCCCAAAAACUUUUACUCCCCUCCCCUCCCCUCCCAACCCCCCAAUCUACCCAAAAUUCAUUUCCCACCAAAAUUUUACUCUCCCAUUUAUUUUUUCUCAAAAUUUCACUCCCCAAAACCCUCAAAACCUUUUAUUUUCCCCCAAAAUUUUUACUCCCUCCCACUUUUCCCCUAAAACUUUUAUUCCCUUCCCAUCCCACCUCCCAUCUAUCCCAAACCCUUCCCCCUCCA